Lacerta agilis (Sand lizard) is the source of this 273-nucleotide long non-coding RNA. RefSeq lists it as uncharacterized. The transcript is spliced from 3 exons. The record is from RefSeq and is a predicted model, not a curated record. Lineage: Eukaryota; Metazoa; Chordata; Lepidosauria; Squamata; Lacertidae.
AGAGAGAGAGAGACUUAGGAAAACAUCUAACAGCCCAAAUCGAGAGUUGGUUUUGUCUGAUAAGCGCUUCAUGAAUAAGAAUGCAAUAAUUCACAGGCAAGAGGUGAACUUGUGAGGAUUUAUGAGGAGCAUUUCCUUAAGUGUCACAGUGUUGUGUUGCAACGUUCUUGGGAAUUUAAACACCCAUCACUGGCAAAGUGGCAUGCAGUUGGGCCACUUGAUUGCGGUGUACAUCCAGUGUGACAUGAAUCUCUCAACAGCCCUUUGGUGCAG